Molecule: long non-coding RNA, 422 nt
Organism: Apus apus (common swift)
Lineage: Eukaryota; Metazoa; Chordata; Aves; Apodiformes; Apodidae
Exons: 3
Source: RefSeq, a predicted model, not a curated record
GGCACACAUGCGUAAUUGAGGAUUGAAUUAGGAUUGCACCUUACCUCUGAUGCUCCAUAAAUCUAAGUGCUUGGCUUUGUAAGGGCUGCAGGUAUUCCUGAGGUUUAUGGCACAAAUACUGCUCUGCCACAGACAACAGACUGAAGGAGGAGGAGCUGUUGUAUGCCUUCUGCCCUUGGGUUCAGCCCUGAAGCUGUGGUGCUCUGCCUUCCUGCACGGUGCCUCAGCACAGUCCCUCAGGAAACUUUGCAGAUACUGCUGGGAAGGAGGUGGAGAUUAAAAAGAGGAGAAAUAACAUGGAAGAACUCCUUCAGCAGUGAAAGCUAGAGGAUCAGCGGGUGCAACAGGAGCAUUGCCUGCAGAAUACCUCCAGAGCUGCUAACAUGUUGCUUAGGCUGGAUGUGCACAGGAAAAUUUGGAAA